Molecule: non-coding RNA, 74 nt
Organism: Dothidotthia symphoricarpi CBS 119687
Lineage: Eukaryota; Fungi; Ascomycota; Dothideomycetes; Pleosporales; Dothidotthiaceae
Source: the annotation of a RefSeq genome assembly
GGUCGUUUAGCUCAGUUGGUUAGAGCGUGGUGCUAAUAACGCCAAGGUCGCGAGUUCGACCCUCGUAAUGACCA